AUUGAACGCUGGCGGCAGGCUUAACACAUGCAAGUCGAGCGGGGUGAUGGUGCUUGCACUAUCACUUAGCGGCGGACGGGUGAGUAAUGCUUGGGAAUCUGCCUAUUAGUGGGGGACAACAUCUCGAAAGGGAUGCUAAUACCGCAUACGUCCUACGGGAGAAAGCAGGGGAUCACUUGUGACCUUGCGCUAAUAGAUGAGCCUAAGUCGGAUUAGCUAGUUGGUGGGGUAAAGGCCUACCAAGGCGACGAUCUGUAGCGGGUCUGAGAGGAUGAACCGCCACACUGGGACUGGGACACGGCCCAGAGUCCUACGGGAGGCAGCAGUGGGGAAUAUUGGACAAUGGGGGGAACCCUGAUCCAGCCAUGCCGCGUGUGUGAAGAAGGCCUUAUGGUUGUAAAGCACUUUAAGCGAGGAGGAGGCUCUUUUGGUUAAUACCCAAGAUGAGUGGACGUUACUCGCAGAAUAAGCACCGGCUAACUCUGUGCCAGCCGCCGCAGUAA
RNAcentral lists this ribosomal RNA (503 nucleotides) under uncultured bacterium. Its description in RNAcentral is "partial 16S ribosomal RNA". It matches the Rfam family "Bacterial small subunit ribosomal RNA", at positions 30 to 523 of the family's 1533-position model. The record is from RNAcentral.